This 446-nucleotide ribosomal RNA is filed under the name uncultured bacterium. Its description in RNAcentral is "bacterial SSU rRNA". It matches the Rfam family "Bacterial small subunit ribosomal RNA", at positions 330 to 792 of the family's 1533-position model. The record is from RNAcentral.
GCCAGACUCCUACGGGAGGCAGCAGUGGGGGAUAUUGCACAAUGGGGGAAACCCUGAUGCAGCGACGCCGCGUGAGUGAAGAAGUAUUUCGGUAUGUAAAGCUCUAUCAGCAGGGAAGAAAAAAGACGGUACCUGACUAAGAAGCCCCGGCUAACUACGUGCCAGCAGCCGCGGUAAUACGUAGGGGGCAAGCGUUAUCCGGAUUUACUGGGUGUAAAGGGAGCGUAGACGGCAAUACAAGUCGGAAGUGAAAUACCCGGGCUCAACCUGGGAACUGCUUUGGAAACUGUAUGGCUGGAGUGCUGGAGAGGUAAGCGGAAUUCCUAGUGUAGCGGUGAAAUGCGUAGAUAUUAGGAGGAACACCAGUGGCGAAGGCGGCUUACUGGACAGUAACUGACGUUGAGGCUCGAAAGCGUGGGGAGCAAACAGGAUUAGAUACCCUUGUA